GGUAUUGAAAUAAGAUUUUAAAUGAGUGCUAAGAGAAUGAUUAAACAAUUAAAAACUUUCUUUAAUUAAAUAAUUAAAUUUAAUUUUUUUUGUGCAAAAGCAAAAAUAAAAUUUAGGGACAAGAAGACCCUAUGAAUUUUUAUUAUUAAUAUUUUGCAAUUAAAUUAUUAAUAAUUUAAUUGGGGUGAUAAAAAAAGAAUAAGUAUCUUUUUAAAUUAUAAAAUAAGUUCCGUUUUUAGCGAUUAAAUGAAAAAAAUACUCUAGGGAUAACAGCGUAAUAAUUUUGGAUAGUUCAUAUAGAUAAAAUAGUUUGCGACCUCGAUGUUGGAUUAGGAUUCUUUUUUGGUGAAGAAGUUAAGAAAAGAAGUUUGUUCAACUUUUAAAUUCCUACUUGAUCUGAGUUCAGACC
This 409-nucleotide ribosomal RNA is filed under the name Ixodes scapularis (black-legged tick). Its description in RNAcentral is "partial 16S ribosomal RNA". The stretch from base 117 to 409 matches the Rfam family "Bacterial large subunit ribosomal RNA", at positions 2078 to 2617 of the family's 2925-position model. Lineage: Eukaryota; Metazoa; Arthropoda; Arachnida; Ixodida; Ixodidae. The record is from RNAcentral.